GAUGAACGCUGGCGGCGUGCCUAAUACAUGCAAGUCGAGCGAACAGACGAGGAGCUUGCUCCUUUGACGUUAGCGGCGGACGGGUGAGUAACACGUAGGUAACCUACCUAUAAGACUGGGAUAACUUCGGGAAACUGGAGCUAAUACCGGAUAAUAUUUCGAACCGCAUGGUUCGAUAGUGAAAGAUGGCUUUGCUAUCACUUAUAGAUGGACCUGCGCCGUAUUAGCUAGUUGGUAAGGUAACGGCUUACCAAGGCAACGAUACGUAGCCGACCUGAGAGGGUGAUCGGCCACACUGGAACUGAGACACGGUCCAGACUCCUACGGGAGGCAGCAGUAGGGAAUCUUCCGCAAUGGGCGAAAGCCUGACGGAGCAACGCCGCGUGAGUGAUGAAGGUCUUCGGAUCGUAAAACUCUGUUAUUAGGGAAGAACAAACGUGUAAGUAACUGUGCACGUCUUGACGGUACCUAAUCAGAAAGCCACGGCUAACUACGUG
This 497-nucleotide ribosomal RNA is filed under the name uncultured bacterium. Its description in RNAcentral is "partial 16S ribosomal RNA". It matches the Rfam family "Bacterial small subunit ribosomal RNA", at positions 28 to 507 of the family's 1533-position model. The record is from RNAcentral.